GAUGAACGCUGGCGGCGUGCCUAAUACAUGCAAGUCGAGCGAACAGACGAGGAGCUUGCUCCUCUGACGUUAGCGGCGGACGGGUGAGUAACACGUGGAUAACCUACCUAUAAGACUGGGAUAACUUCGGGAAACCGGAGCUAAUACCGGAUAAUAUAUUGAACCGCAUGGUUCAAUAGUGAAAGACGGUUUUGCUGUCACUUAUAGAUGGAUCCGCGCCGCAUUAGCUAGUUGGUAAGGUAACGGCUUACCAAGGCGACGAUGUGUAGCCGACCUGAGAGGGUGAUCGGCCACACUGGAACUGAGACACGGUCCAGACUCCUACGGGAGGCAGCAGUAGGGAAUCUUCCGCAAUGGGCGAAAGCCUGACGGAGCAACGCCGCGUGAGUGAUGAAGGUCUUCGGAUCGUAAAACUCUGUUAUUAGGGAAGAACAAAUGUGUAAGUAACUAUGCACGUCUUGACGGUACCUAACCAGAAAGCCACGGCUAACUACGUG
This 497-nucleotide ribosomal RNA is filed under the name uncultured bacterium. RNAcentral's name for it is "partial 16S ribosomal RNA". It matches the Rfam family "Bacterial small subunit ribosomal RNA", at positions 28 to 507 of the family's 1533-position model. The record is from RNAcentral.